AAGUCGUAACAAGGUAACCGUAGGUGAACCUGCGGUUGGAUCAUUAACAAUGGGGUUUCAACCUAUACACACUGUGAACCAUAUUGUCCUUGGCCUCUUUUCUUUGAAUUGGGGGCCGCUAUUUUAACUAUUCUAAAAUGAGUCUUGGAUUUAUUAUUAAAUAAAAACAACUUUUGACAAUGGAUCUCUUGGCUCUC
RNAcentral lists this unclassified non-coding RNA (197 nucleotides) under fungal sp. RNAcentral describes it as "partial internal transcribed spacer region". The stretch from base 1 to 46 matches the Rfam family "Eukaryotic small subunit ribosomal RNA", at positions 1786 to 1831 of the family's 1831-position model. The record is from RNAcentral. Lineage: Eukaryota; Fungi.